Molecule: non-coding RNA, 4056 nt
Organism: Cricetulus griseus (Chinese hamster)
Lineage: Eukaryota; Metazoa; Chordata; Mammalia; Rodentia; Cricetidae
Source: RefSeq, a predicted model, not a curated record
AGAGUGCAGAGGCCUCCUCAUUGACAUCCAUGUUCAGGGGUCUGGAUCAGUCUUGUGCUGACCUCCCAGACAGAAGUCUGGGGUCCAUGUGCUCCUCCUUGUUCAGGCCAGCUGUUUCUUAAACCUAAUCUUUACUACCAUAUCCUUCUGAGUUUCUAUUACUUCUUGCCAUGUCAUAAUUUUCAAGCUACCAUUUUUUUUGCUGUGACUACUGAAAAACCUUUCUCACUCAUGAGAAAUGAAGUGCCUUACCACUGUACUAAUACUGUACUAGUCUAGUGAUUUGCUUACCCACUCCUCCCUUCAAUCUUCAUCAGCAACUCAAUAUUGCCACACAGUUGGAUAUGAAGAGUGAAAUAAAAUGUCAAUAUCUGGGGUCCAGGACACACACACACACACACACACACACACACACACACACACACGAGUUCUUUGAGAUGAAUAAAUAUCAAAUAGAUGUCACAGUUCAAGUUAACCCAAAGACAGAUUUGUGUGUGGAACUGGCACUUCAACUAUGAUAUAACCAUUAGAUACAAAAGCAUACGUGCAUAUAUACAUUUUUUUUCACUUUCUAAUGGUGGAAGAUAGAGAAAAGAACACUUUCUCUGGCUUUUAUAGAAUACUUAUAUGUGUGCUCAAGGUACAUAGAGGAAGAAAAUAAAUAAUUUAUAUAGUGUUCCUUUGACUUGUAAUAAUGUUUCUCUUUAUUUUUUUUUCACUUAGAGAACCAGAAAACAAAUUUAAUCUAACAGAAACAGAAACAUAAAAUUUUUCUUUCAAAUCACAUUAAUGCCUUGCCAUCAUCAUGGCCAUCAGUUACAUCCAGCCUCAAGUCUUUCUCCAAACAGCAAAGCUAAUAUCACGGAAGGGUUAAUAAUAUUAACAUCCAGCUCAGAAAUCUACACAAAGAAAACCUUUUCCAUAAUCACUCAAAACCAUUAAAAAUAUUCAUCUGUGACAGCACAAUGUGAGGCAGGACUCACACAAAUGUUUCCAUAUUUAACAUGGAUGUCUUGCUUGUGAUUAUUUGGUCUGACAAUAGCAUGCAAUUUCAGGAAAUAUUUAACAUAAUCAGCUUUUGUCCACACAAAACUCCUCAGGGUUAUAGAUACAUUUGUGUGGUGUGAUUCAACUCACUGCAUCAUUUUGGAAAUUUUCCAAGUUUUGCUUGUAGAAUUAUUUGUGGUCAAUCCAGUCAAUUUUAAAACCUCUUUCCUGCUUGAAUAAAGGCAAGGAAGAAAGCAUAAGCUUCUCCUGCUACCCUUUCUUAAAACUAAUAUAGGUAAGAAGAAAGUAGAGAAAAGGCAAUGAGACAACAAACCACCUUUUAAAAAAAUAGGAACAUACACAUAUGCACAAAACAACGACAAUUAAAGAAAAAGAGGCCAUGAAUUUGAAAGAGCAGGGCAGUACAUAAUAGGAGGACUUGUCGGGAAGAAAAACUAGGGAAAAGCAUGCCAUUAUAAUCUCAAACUACUUUUAAAAAUCUGAAUAAAAAUCAAGUUAAAGCCACUAAUCACUAAGCUAAUUUAAUGAGGCUGAAAGAGGAGUGUAUUUAUGAAUUCUUCAAGACCAGAGCACAAGUUGUAAGUAAAGCACAUUAAAGAAUUUUCUUUAAUGACAUGCAGGAAGCUAACAAAGGUAUGCUGAGCCAAUUUAAUAACCUUAAAAGACAUCAAACCACACUCUGAGACUGCUUGUGAUUUCAUUCACAACUUGCAACUCAACAGAUACUAAUAAAAGAUAUAAUUUGAGUUGGUCUUUUACAAAAAUGGAAAGGGUAAUAAAGUGUUAAUGUAUAGCCAUAUUAUAUUUACUAGUUAUAUUUGGUUGACAGUUUGGGGAAUGAUAAAAAUCCAGGAAGAACAGAUUUCAGUUUGGAUUGUACCCUUAUUGACACUUGACAUUUCUACUUCAAGUUUUAAAAAUGUACUGUAUAGUCAAUUCCUGAGUACUGGUGUGAAAGAAAAUAAGUCAUCUUUCUCUACUAGAGUAUUGACCAAAAUAGAAUGUGUAACUGAUAGCUUUUCAGAUUUGAUUAAAUAUUGCGGUGGGGGGGGGGAUUUAUUUAUUUAUUUGUUUGUUUGCUUGUUUACUUAUUUUGGGUGAUGUGGCCACUGGUGGGUUCCUCAUACUCCAAUGACUGGUGGGUUCCCUAUACUCCAGGGACUGAUGAGUUCACUUUACUCCAGUGACUGGUAAGUUCCCAGGCUCCAGUGAUUGGUGGGCUCCCUAUACUCCAAUGACUGGUAGAUUCCCUAUGCUCCAGUGACUGGUGUGUUGGAUCCAGAGUCUCCUGUUUGGCAUUUUCUGGCCAUGGACUGAUGAGAUCUCCUGUUCUUUUCUGCUGUAUGGACCAAGUGAGGACCUUCAUUUUACUCCACUCCAGCAUCCUGCUUUCAGGUACUUCUAAGUGCUAGAGGCAAGUGUCAGUGGGCUCAAGAGCAGGAAAUGAGAACCUGACAAUCAGGCCCUAUUGUUGAAGAUGCCAUACACUUGAGUUACAGGACUUACAGAAAUCAAGCUGGUACUGAACUGGAAGAUUCAUCCCUACUGGCUAGCUUUCAUGGAAAGUGCAUGCACUCUACCAGAGGAGAAAUGUCAUCAUGAGUCUUACCCUGCUGUUAACAACCCAGUGAGCUACAAGGAGUGGCUGGCCAAAACAUGCUCAAUAGUGAUACAACAGUGGCACCAAUGUGGAAUUAACCAACCACUUCCUAAUUGGAUGUAUGGAUCCUUCCACAAGAUAAAUCUCAUCCCUGGCAUCAGGUCAAGAAUCUACGGCCAGAUAGAUCACAGAACCUGGGAGAGAACCUACUACUGUAUUCUGCUAAAUGGACACAGUAUGAAGUAAACUCUUCAUGAAGGCCCCACUCAGUCCUUAUCAGAGAACUUUCUGAUUCCUGUAGAUGAUCAACACAGGAAACCACAACUAGCCAAUGUGCAGAGAAUAAGAGAAUACAGAAGGUUCAGCCCUAAAUGGAACAGAUAUACUAUAUAUACCCCUCCUCUAAAGGCUCAGGGAUCAUUGCAGAAGAGGGGGUGGAAAGAGUGUAAGAGCCACAAGUGGUGAAUGACUACAAGGAAGCAGUGUCUUCUAGACACAGCAGGGAAGUUGCACAUAUGAACUCACAGCAUGUGUGACAGCAUGCACAAGAUCUGUGCAAGCCCAAUCCAGACCAAAUCCCAGCAUGGAGAGGGGAGAUGGGCACAAAGUUCUACCCCUAGCCAAGGAGCUACUGGCAAUUGUUAGCAGCUGAGAGAGGAAGUCUCAGGAACUGCCGUCUAAAUGUUAACAACGAAAGACUGAUGACAUUCUUUGAAAACAGAAUAGAAAAGCUUACUUUGAAAAGCUGGCAAUAGAUCUCCACUAACCUAACAGCACAAAUCAGGUUCACCUGUGUCUUCAGAGAGUUAAGACUUAACAUUCACUUGUUAAGAACAUUUACUAACGUAGCACUUAAACUGACAUAAUCAGUACCUCUGCCAAACCUUAAUAAUUUAAUGAAAGUUUUAGUAGGCCUUGCUUUAGCUUUCAUGCUCCAUGCUGUCAUCCAGUCUAACACUAUAUAUGAUGCGUUCACCCUUUAUUUAAUGAGAACUAUAGAAGAUACAUAGCAAACUGCUCAGAGUAAGUGCUCUAGACUUUGAUAAUAGUGGUGAUGGGUUAGAACUAGGAAAAAGGACAUUGCCAACUCACACAUGAUGGACCACAGCUCAAGAAAAGCUGCUAAGAAAAGAGAAAUUAUUUUUAAGUGUAAGAAAUAGGAAGGAGAUUAUACAUAGGCAAAAAGAAAUAAGAAAACAUGAAGUGCUCUAAGAGAACAGCACAAAGAAGUUUGACUUCAGGCUGGGCGUUGGUGGCGCGGCCUUUAAUCCCAGCACUCAGGAAGCUGAGACAGGUGGAUCUCUGUGAGUUUGAGGCCAGCCUGGUCUCCAGAGCGAGUGCCAGGAUAGGCUCCAAAGCUACACAGAGAAACCCUGUCUCAAAAAACCAAAAAAAAAAACAAAAAACUUUGACUUCAUUAUACAUGUGUAGAUCCUCUUAGCACAAUA